Molecule: ribosomal RNA, 387 nt
Filed under: uncultured crenarchaeote
Lineage: Archaea; Thermoproteati; Thermoproteota
Description: bacterial SSU rRNA
Rfam family: Archaeal small subunit ribosomal RNA
Source: RNAcentral
UCAUUGAAUUAAUAAAGGCAAACGGUUCAUUAACGCUUAUCCCCUUAACCUAUGGACGGAAAUAACCUCGGGAAACUGAGAAUAAUGCCCAAUAAAACAUUAUGCCGGGAAUGGUUUAUGUUCCAAAUGAUUUACCGCCGAAGGAGGGGACGGCGGCCUAUCAUUUUGUGGGGGAGGUAAUGGCCCACCAAAAUUAUUACAGGUACGGGUUCUGAAAGAAGUACCCCGAAGAUGGUUACUGAAACACGGACCCAGGCCCUAUGGGGCGCAGCAGGCAAAAAAACUUUGCAAGGUGCGAAAGCACGACAAGGUUAAUCCGAGUGGUUUCUGCUAAAGGAACCUUUUGUCGGUCCAAGAACCACCAAUAAUUAAGGGGUGGGCAAGUUC